GAGCGCUUUUGUGCACAGCUUCUAGGAGUUGCAGAUCACUUGCCGGUCCAUGGGCUGCAGAGGUGUGCUGUGCUAGGGGAGGGGGUGGCCUUUAUGAAGUCACACUCAGUGUCUGUAUCACCCAGCAAGGCUGGAGGCUGUGCCAGGGCACUGUCCAUCGGAAGAAAGCACCUUUCAGCAGUUGGCUGUCGGAAAGAUACUCCUUCAUGAUGGCACUCUGUCCUCCGCCGGGGUAGCAUGGUGACUCCCUCUGCCACAUCAGCUCCUUGGACGGCAUCUUCAUUCUUCAGAACAAUUGAGAUUGUUGACUUCAACUUCAGCACCUCAUAGCCCAAGGCCAGAUCAGCCACAUGAAUACCAUGCUCAUGUUUUCUACAACUUCCUUCUUCAGGUCUCACGAUUUCCACUUACAGAUGAAGAAAUAAGACAGACAGUUAAAAGUCACACAGUCACCAAGAGGGGAUCCAGGAAGAGACCCUCGGACAUCUGAAUGCAGAGCAAAGUAGGCCCCUGCAGAACAACUGGAUUAAGUGACUCGGGUCCUGUCCUGGUCAAUAUAUUAGAGAAGAAAC
Long non-coding RNA from Fukomys damarensis (Damara mole-rat), 572 nucleotides. RefSeq lists it as uncharacterized. Lineage: Eukaryota; Metazoa; Chordata; Mammalia; Rodentia; Bathyergidae. The transcript has 3 exons. The record is from RefSeq and is a predicted model, not a curated record.